This 82-nucleotide transfer RNA is filed under the name Spirochaetota bacterium. RNAcentral describes it as "Spirochaetes bacterium (freshwater metagenome) tRNA-Leu". It matches the Rfam family "tRNA". Rfam says of the family: Transfer RNA (tRNA) molecules are approximately 80 nucleotides in length. Their secondary structure includes four short double-helical elements and three loops (D, anti-codon, and T loops). The record is from RNAcentral. Lineage: Bacteria; Pseudomonadati; Spirochaetota.
GCGAGUGUGGCGGAACUGGUAGACGCGCUAGACUUAGGAUCUAGUGUCUUUCGGCGUGGGGGUUCGACUCCCUUCACUCGCA